GACAGAGGGGGCUAGCGUUGUUCGGAAUGACUGGGCGUAAAGGGCGCGUAGGCGGUUUUUUAAGUUAGACGUGAAAGACCUGGGCUUAACCUGGGAGGUGCGUUUAAUACUGAGGGACUAGAGACCAAGAGAGGAAGAAGGAAUUCCUAGUGUAGAGGUGAAAUUCGUAGAUAUUAGGAGGAACACCAGAGGCGAAGGCGAUUUUCUGGCUUGGCACUGACGCUGAGGCGCGAAAGCGUGGGGAUCAAACAGG
RNAcentral lists this ribosomal RNA (253 nucleotides) under uncultured bacterium. Its description in RNAcentral is "partial 16S ribosomal RNA". It matches the Rfam family "Bacterial small subunit ribosomal RNA", at positions 524 to 776 of the family's 1533-position model. The record is from RNAcentral.